This 253-nucleotide ribosomal RNA is filed under the name uncultured bacterium. RNAcentral's name for it is "partial 16S ribosomal RNA". It matches the Rfam family "Bacterial small subunit ribosomal RNA", at positions 524 to 776 of the family's 1533-position model. The record is from RNAcentral.
UACGUAGGUGGCAAGCGUUGUCCGGAUUUACUGGGCGUAAAGAGCGCGCAGGCGGUCGGAUCAGUCGAAUGUGAAAGCCCCCGGCUCAACUGGGGAGGGUCAUUCGAUACUGGCCGACUCGAAGGCAGGAGAGGGAAGCGGAAUUCCCGGUGUAGUGGUGAAAUGCGUAGAUAUCGGGAGGAACACCAGUGGCGAAGGCGGCUUUCUGGCCUGUUCUUGACGCUGAGGCGCGAAAGCUAGGGGAGCGAACGGG